CAGAGUUCAUGCCCUCACGGGUAGAUCUCCCACCCUUGAAUAUUAUACCUUAGUUGCUUGGCAGGCCGGGGUAACCCCCGGGGCUUCGGCCUUGGUGUGCCUGCCAGAGGAAACAAACUCUGUUUUUAGUGAUGUCUGAGUACUAUAUAAUAGUUA
Molecule: unclassified non-coding RNA, 156 nt
Filed under: uncultured Naevala
Lineage: Eukaryota; Fungi; Ascomycota; Leotiomycetes; Helotiales; Dermateaceae
Source: RNAcentral